RNAcentral lists this ribosomal RNA (234 nucleotides) under uncultured Lactobacillus sp. Its description in RNAcentral is "partial 16S ribosomal RNA". It matches the Rfam family "Bacterial small subunit ribosomal RNA", at positions 128 to 355 of the family's 1533-position model. Lineage: Bacteria; Bacillati; Bacillota; Bacilli; Lactobacillales; Lactobacillaceae. The record is from RNAcentral.
GCCCAAGAGAUCGGGAUAACACCUGGAAACAGAUGCUAAUACCGGAUAACAACAGAUGAUGCCUAUCAACUGUUUAAAAGAUGGUUCUGCUAUCACUNUUGGAUGGACCUGCGGUGCAUUAGCUAGUUGGUAGGGUAACGGCCUACCAAGGCGAUGAUGCAUAGCCGAGUUGAGAGACUGAUCGGCCACAUUGGGACUGAGACACGGCCCAAACUCCUACGGGAGGCAGCAGCC